Molecule: ribosomal RNA, 253 nt
Filed under: uncultured bacterium
Lineage: Bacteria
Description: partial 16S ribosomal RNA
Rfam family: Bacterial small subunit ribosomal RNA
Source: RNAcentral
UACAGAGGUCCCGAGCGUUGUUCGGAUUCACUGGGCGUAAAGGGUGCGUAGGUGGUCUUGAAAGUUGAUGUGAAAGCUCAGGGCUUAACCCUGAAAUGGCAUUGAAUACUGUCGAGCUGGAGGUUUGGAGGGGGGACUGGAAUUCUUGGUGUAGCAGUGAAAUGCGUAGAUAUCAAGAGGAACACCAGUGGCGAAGGCGGCCCACUGGAUCGGUACUGACGCUGGAGGUGCGAAAGCGUGGGGAGCAAACAGG